AUGAGGUGCACAAAGCCUGUGCAAAGCAACCUGCUUGUGCAAGGCUAUCUUCUUGCACGAAGCAAACCCUUUCACAUUCGGCCCUGGUAUCAAAAUCUCAGCCCAGGUGGAAGCAUCAGCAGUGCUGAAAUAAACACAGCCACGCGUCACACGCGCUCACCACAAGCCGAUCACUUGCAGGACCAAGCUCAGCAUAAGCAAGCAGUGCUGCGUCGCUGCUCAGCAGAAGGCACACAGGCGUCCUCCUCAAGCACCGCACGGAUCCCAGCAGCAACACACACAGCUGCCCUGAUGCAGCGCGGGCAUUUGGCUGCUCCUCCUGUGCUGCCCACCAGCACUGCACACCUCCCGCGCCCUGACCUGUGCUCCUGCCCCACACUGCUGGCACACACCCAGACCGCGGGGACACUGCUGACCCUAAGAAGCCGGGCAGCUCCGUGCCGCUGGGGAAAAGGCACCGCUGUGCUGGACAGCUGAGCCUUCCAUGAGAUGACCAAUAAACCAGUCGUAUCAAUACUCAGCUCUAAUGCCCCAUUCUGUCAAUUCCGAAGUCUUCCCUACAAGUUAGAUGUAACUUCUACUUCUAUCAUUGUGUAGUUUAGUUGAAUUCAUUAUUGACAUAGGUGGCAGAGAGACUCAUAACAUAACAUGCUAUCCCACUAAUGUUACAAAAACAGAAUUCCACAAUCAGCUUCCACUCCAAACAAUAUAGGAAGAACUGAGUGUCUGACUGUGGUAGAAAUUCUCUCCUUGUUUGUGCAACUGAAAUCUCCUCUGUAAGCAUAGAGAAAAUUAAUUCAUGUUGCUGAUUUAAAUUGUCUCCACAGAUCAAGGUUUUAAGUUAGAGCUGUUCCUCGACAUCCACGUUCUGUCCAAAGCCUUUCAUAAUAGAGAAUUUGCUACUGGAACAGUAUCACUUGUUUUUCAUUUUAAUUUUAAAAGAAGAAACGGCUUUUUGCUAAGACAGCCCAGGAAAUGAAGAUUCCUGCCCCAGCAAAUUUGUUACUUAGGAGACAAGAGAUGGAGGCUUAGGAGCACAGUGGCUUCGUCUGUUCACACACAGAUGAGUACAUGAGAGCUAAACUUGCCUGGGACUCUCUGGCCAAUGAAGUGUGUCUCUGCUGGGAAGGGAUGCAUGACAGCCCCCUUACUGCUCUCUCUCCACUGACAACGAGCUUUCAAAAUGCCAUAAGGACAUAUAUUUAUUAACAGUUUCUUAAAGGCAGCAGAAACGAGUGAUACCUCCAAAAGAACCCCAUGUGACUCAGCAUAGUCGCCAUCAUCCUGCAUGGCGCGAUGGGCAACAUCAGAAGAUGCGGGGGCUGGGGGAAUCUUUGCUGUAGUGAUGACUCACAAAGCAACUCAGCAAAUAACAAUCUGAUUAUGAAAAGCAGUCUUCUGAACUGACUCACAGCCCAGGGCCUGAGGAUUUCACAGCAGGUAGUGGCCUCCUGUGGAAACCAGUUCCAUCUGUGAGCNNNNNNNNNNNNNNNNNNNNNNNNNNNNNNNNNNNNNNNNNNNNNNNNNNNNNNNNNNNNNNNNNNNNNNNNNNNNNNNNNNNNNNNNNNNNNNNNNNNNUAGCCGGCCCUGGCCCGCAAAGAGGCUCCGAAGGCGGCAGCCCCAAGGGCGAGGUGAGCGGCGGCGGCGGGGUCCGUGUGAGCGCAACUGCCGUCUCAGGGUCUGUAAGUGAGGGUGCAAAGCUCCGUGUGGAAAAGGCGAGGCUCUGAGCCAGCUGUCACCCACAGGACCUCCGUGUGGAGGCUGCCUCACAUGUUGGGGUGCCCAUCAGUGUGUUACCCCCUUGUGUAUUUCAUUUCCAGCCUCAAAUCUCUGCCCUUUGUAAGCUAGAUGUGUAAAAUACCGCUCUCUAAAGCUCCUCCUGGAGGAGAAGCAGCUGUUUCAUGUCCUCCCUGCAAUACACAUUCGUGAUGGUGGAAGUGACAGGAAUGCACUGGUGCUGUUCCCUCUGUGAAAUGGUUUUGUGUGAUGCCCGUAGCUAAAAGUAAUGAGAAUUUCAACCCCAAGCAGAAAUUAAUGAGCAAAGUGCAGUGGGAGAUUUGUCUGUGUCCCAGGUGUGUAAGAGCAGGUAAGAUGUCUGACAAGUUUAAAGUCGUUCUGAGCUCUUAAAAGUUCGCCUUCAGUUCUUCAGAAAGUUUCUUCUAGCUUCAUAACGUCAUACUUCUGGGAGUAAGCUGCCCAACAGGGUACUUUCGUACAUUGGAUCUGUGACACAGAGCUCUGAAAAUCAAUCUUGUAGUUGGAAAGUUUCUGUCACGUCUCAGUUCCAUGUCCUCUCCUUCCCAGAAAAUCUGUGGGAUGUCAUCCUGCUAAAGAUCUAGCAAGUGGGGUGAAAAAAGUGCUGAGCUUCCAGGAUUGUCAAAUCAUUCAUAAUGGGUAUACAGUAUUUGUGUUUUGAAAGGCGUUGGUUCAUGCUUUUAAGCACUGACUGUUCAGUUCAUAGAAUCGUUUGAGUUGGGAAGGACUCUUAAAGGCAUCAAAUCCAGCUCCCCUGCAAUGAACAGAGACACCUACAGCUAGAUCACAGUGCUCAGAUCCCCAUUCAGCCUGACCUUGAGUGUCUCCAGGGAUGGGGAAUUCACCACCUCUCUCGGCAACCUGUGCCAAUGCUUCACCACCUUUACAGUAAAAAUCUUCUUCUUCAUAUCCGAUGAAGAAUCUCUCAUCCAAUCUCUUCUCUUUUAGUUUGAAACAAUUUCCCCUUGUCCUGUCACAACAGACCCUGCUAAAGAGUCUGUCUCCUUCUUUCUUAUAGUCCCCCCACCCUUUAGAUACUGAAAAACACCAAGCCAGCCUCACAUAACAAUGCAUAAACAUGGCCUUUUAUGAAAUAUUUGAAACAUCCAUUAACAACAGAUUUCCCCACUGUCAGUUAAAUUUAGUAGUACUCUGUUGAACAGAAAUAACUCAAGAAUUAAUCACUCUUAGCUUAAAAACUGACAGCUAUUUUAAGCAGACGGCUUUUGGGGGGAAAAAAGCUGCACAAGUAUGUAUACUCAAAGGGACAAGUUAUGAACAUGCUCAUGUUAUGGUUAGGUUUAAAUUCAUUUUUUCGCUCACGCUUUUUGAACUGAGUUGUCAUGCUUCUGAACUUCAGAAUAUUUUGAGCCAGACAUAGCAAGGAUCCCUGGUUAUAUACAUACAUAUUUCAUUAAUGGCCAGGCAAGAUGUGGCUCUGGGCAACCUGGUCUAGUGGUUGGUGAUCCUGCACAUAGCAGGGAGUUGAAACUAGAUGGUCAUUGUGGUCCUUUUCAAUCCAGGAUGUUUUAUGAUUCUGUGAUAUGAUUCUAUGAUUAUAUGGUUGUCACUUCAUAGAAUCAUAGAAUCAUGGAAUCAUAGAAUCACUCAGGUUGGAAAAGACCUUAAAGAUCAUCGGGUCCAAACACAACCUAACCACACUACCCUAACUCUAAUAACUCUCCGCUAAAUCAUGUCCCUGAGCACCACAUCCAAAUGGUUUUUAAACACAUCCAGGGAUGGUGACUCAACCACCUUCCUGGGGAGCCUAUUCCAGUGCUUAACAACCCUUUCUGUAAGGAAGUUUUUCCUGAUAUCCAAUGUAAACAUCCCCUGGCCCAAUUUGAGGCCAUUUCCCCUCAUCCUGUCACCUGUCACCAGUGAGAAGAGACCAACCCCACUCUCACUGUAAGCGCCUUUCAGAUAUUGGAAGAGAUCAAUAAGAUCUCCCCGCAGCCUCCUCUUCCCUAUAUUAAAUAGCCCCAGUUCCUUCAGUCUCUCAUCAUAGGCCGUAUUCUCCAAGCCGUUCACAAGCCUUGUUGACCUUCUUUGGACCUGCUCCAGCACCUCCAUGUCCUUUCUGUACUGAGGUGCCCAAAACUGAACACAGUACUUGAGCUGUGGCCUCACCAAUGCCGAGUACAGGGCAAGAUGACUUCCCUAGUCCUGCUCACCGCUCCAUUCCUGACACAAGCCAGGAUGCCAUUGGCCUUCUUGGCCACCUGGGCACACUACUGGCUCAUAUUCAGCUGACUGUCCAUCAGUACACCAAGGUCCCUUUCCAUCAGGCAGCUUUCCAGCCACUCUUCCCCAAGCCUGUAGGGUUGCCUGGGGUUGUUGUGACCAAAAUGCAGGAUGCAAAUAGAGAAAUGAGUCUGCUGUCUUGUGGAAAUAAGUUAAUACCUGGCAAGGAAACUAACAGCUUCUCCUGCAGUAGUUAAUUAGUCUACUGCUAAUGUUACUUUAAGAGGAACCAUCCUCCCCACAUAGACUUCAGUCAGCUUUCUGUUGUGCCCAGUUAACAUCUUGAUUGCCUUUGAAUAAGUGCAGCUGGAUUUAAAUAUGCCCAUGGAAAUUUUUAAAAGUAAUAGUAACAUCAGUAUGUUUUCUGAAAUUUUAAGCUUUUGUUUUUGUUUGUUUUGAAAUAUCAACUUACUUUUACUGCAGUAAGUUGCAAACUCUGUUCAAAAAGCAGAAUGGCUGAUUUCAGUCUGCUUCAGCUGUGCUGAUCUGGUUCUGCUGGGUGUUUUGAGAUGUAGGGAGCAGAAGUCCUUGAGGUGGUCAGAGAGGGAGGGCAGUGGGAACAGGAGGCUGUGGGCCAACAGGGAGAAAAAGGAAGAGAAGCAAGGAACCGGGUGAUUGAUUUACUGUAUUUCUAUCUUAAUACUUUCAAAC
Molecule: long non-coding RNA, 4650 nt
Filed under: Meleagris gallopavo (turkey)
Lineage: Eukaryota; Metazoa; Chordata; Aves; Galliformes; Phasianidae
Description: lncRNA (ENSMGAG00000018326.1)
Source: RNAcentral